GAGUUUGAUCAUGGCUCAGGACGAACGCUGGCGGCGUGCUUAACACAUGCAAGUCGAGCGAUGAGAUCACUUCGGUGAAGGAUUAGCGGCGAACGGGUGAGGAACACGUGAAGAAUCUGCCUUCAACUCUGGGAUAACUCCGGGAAACCGGGGCUAAUACCGGAUAUGAGCCUUGAUCGCAUGAUCGGGGCUGGAAAGUUUUUCGGUUGAAGAUGACUUCGCGGCCUAUCAGCUUGUUGGUGAGGUAAUGGCUCACCAAGGCGACGACGGGUAGCCGGCCUGAGAGGGCGACCGGCCACACUGGGACUGAGACACGGCCCAGACUCCUACGGGAGGCAGCAGUGGGGAAUAUUGGGCAAUGGAGGAAACUCUGACCCAGCGACGCCGCGUGCGGGAUGAAGGCCUUCGGGUUGUAAACCGCUUUCAGCAGGGAAUAAGCGCAAGUGAAGGUACCUGCAGAAGAAGCACCGGCUAACUAUGUGCCAGCAGCCGCGGUAAUACAUAGGGUGCAAGCGUUGUCCGGAAUUAUUGGGCGUAAAGAGCUCGUAGGUGGUUUGUUACGUCGGUUGUGAAAUUCAGGGGCUCAACCCCUGACUUGCAGCCGAUACGGGCAAGCUAGAGUUUGGUAGGGGAGACUGGAAUUCCUGGUGUAGCGGUGGAAUGCGCAGAUAUCAGGAGGAACACCGAUGGCGAAGGCAGGUCUCUGGGCCAAUACUGACACUGAGGAGCGAAAGCGUGGGGAGCGAACAGGAUUAGAUACCCUGGUAGUCCACGCCGUANACGGUGGGCGCUAGUUGUGCGAACCUUCCACGGUUUGUGCGACGCAGCUAACGCAUUAAGCGCCCCGCCUGGGGAGUACGAUCGNCAGAUUAAAACUCAAAGGAAUUGACGGGGCCCCGCACAAGCAGCGGAGCAUGCGGCUUAAUUCGACGCA
RNAcentral lists this ribosomal RNA (934 nucleotides) under uncultured bacterium. Its description in RNAcentral is "bacterial SSU rRNA". It matches the Rfam family "Bacterial small subunit ribosomal RNA", at positions 9 to 958 of the family's 1533-position model. The record is from RNAcentral.